CCUGAAACUACAACUUGCAACUGGACUAAAUUUUUUUCCUAAAAAUUUUUUGUUUUCAAUUUAAAGACAAGUGGUAAGAAAGCAUCUUAAAAUGUAUGAAUAAAUCUGAAUAACUAGUUCAAUGUAAGAUUUUUUUUCUGUAGUUUUACUGCCCCAGUCCAUUUUCCAGGGAAGUGUUGCAGGGCUUUUAAGAAUAGAACAGUCUUUCCUAAAGUGGUGCUAAGAGUCUGAAUUUCUCUAGUUCUGAUGAGUUGCUGCAAACUCUACUGAAGGGAAAAGUAAAGAAUUGGGCUUUUUCAUGUAUAUUUUCCAAUUUAAGGAAGAAAUAAAAAUUAAGUAUAUGUAUUUGAAAUUUAAGUAUAUAAAAUACACGUGUGUGUCUUUUUAAAAAAGUUGUUGUGUCAUGAAAUGUCUCUU
This 417-nucleotide long non-coding RNA is filed under the name Bos taurus (domestic cattle). RNAcentral describes it as "long non-coding RNA NONBTAT011966". Lineage: Eukaryota; Metazoa; Chordata; Mammalia; Artiodactyla; Bovidae. The record is from RNAcentral.